UCGAUCCCAAACAAAAAUUUCUGGUCGUGCCCCCAAUUGCAUUUGCUUGCCAAAGCAUGAGAAGAGUAGUACUAAAUAGCACAUGAAAAAAGGCUAACGGAGCAGCUGUAGAAUUGUAAAAUUAUAGAUUACUUGUGGCAACUGGCAAAGUGUUAUGUGGGUUGAAGGAUCACUAUUAUAUAUUGCUAGUGGUAUACGUUGAACGUAAAUUUUGGUCUAAACUCUAAAGCAAUAAAAUCUAUCGUUUCUCAUAAUAAUAAUAAAAUCUUUACUGGCUCAAUGUGAUUCGCACUAUAGCUAGUUCUUCUAAGAUCAUAUAUUAUUUAAAUACCAAGUCAGUCAAUUUUGAAUAAAAUUAGUACAGCAUAGUCAAGUUUUCUUUUUGUUUUUUCUUGUGAAGAAUGGUGAAUGGCUGCCUGCAGCAACUCCUGAAAGGUUAAAGGGUUCCUAUGUUUUUGUAUGUUGUCAUAGGUCACGGGAUCGACGUUGUGGAGUUUGUGGACCUGCCUUGAUUAGUAGAAUCAAAGGAGAGAUAGAAUUACAUGGUCUUCAAAGUACAGUUUCUGUUAGCCCAUGCUCACACCUUGGGGAGCAUAAGUAUGCAGGAAAUGUUAUCGUAUUUGGAUCAAAAAUCAAUGGACAAGUCACCGGGCACUGGUAUAGAUAUGUCACUCCAGAGGAUGUACCCGUAUUGCUUGAGCAACAUAUUUUGAAAGGAGAAAUUGUAGAUUGGCUGUGGAGGGGUGAGAUGGGAUUCUCGGAAGAGGAACAGAAGAAAUCCCAAGAAAUAAGGAUCAAGUUAAAUUGCAAGACAGAUGUUGGGAAAAACGCUAAAGAACUGUGCAAACGCAUAAGAGUGAGGACACUGCUGCUUGUCGAUCUCGACUUGAGGUAAAGGGAUGUUGCCAGGGAAAUGGAAACUCAUACUGCUGCCAAAACCCUGUGUUUCCUGAAAAGCUAGAGAAUCUAGAUGCCAAUGUGGGUGCAACAAAGGUGAUUUCUGAUAAAAAUAGCAGCAAGGAACUAAACUUUGGGAUCAAAAGCCUACUUUAGCACGCCCCAGCCUAUGAAUCAUGAUUUUAGUCCCCUGAAACUAUGCUAUUCUUGAUUGAAAUACAUUCUUUCCUUUGGUAAUAGAUUGACUUUGUAACUAUUUUUUCUUAAGUUAAUUGAUUUAUCAGUUGCAAAGAUGUAGGCAAAACCAAAAGGUUUCACAUCACAUCUGGAAGACUGGAACUAAUAAGGAGUCCUACUCUGAUAAUUUGAAGUAUAUAUAUAAGGAAGUGGCAUCCCAGUCUUUGAGUGGACUAUUUUACUCC
This is a long non-coding RNA of Quercus lobata, 1319 nucleotides long. RefSeq lists it as uncharacterized. NCBI's taxonomy places the organism in Eukaryota, Viridiplantae, Streptophyta, Magnoliopsida, Fagales, Fagaceae. The record is from RefSeq and is a predicted model, not a curated record. The transcript has 3 exons.